UACGAAGGGGGCUAGCGUUGCUCGGAAUCACUGGGCGUAAAGGGUGCGUAGGCGGGUUUUUAAGUCAGGGGUGAAAUCCUGGAGCUCAACUCCAGAACUGCCUUUGAUACUGAAGAUCUUGAGUCCGGGAGAGGUGAGUGGAACUGCGAGUGUAGAGGUGAAAUUCGUAGAUAUUCGCAAGAACACCAGUGGCGAAGGCGGCUCACUGGCCCGAUACUGACGCUGAGGUGCGAAAGCGUGGGAGCAAACAGG
Molecule: ribosomal RNA, 252 nt
Filed under: uncultured bacterium
Lineage: Bacteria
Description: partial 16S ribosomal RNA
Rfam family: Bacterial small subunit ribosomal RNA
Source: RNAcentral